Molecule: non-coding RNA, 159 nt
Filed under: bovine gut metagenome
Description: glmS glucosamine-6-phosphate activated ribozyme
Rfam family: glmS glucosamine-6-phosphate activated ribozyme aptamer
About the family: This entry contains a glucosamine-6-phosphate activated ribozyme that is found in the mRNA for GlmS. GlmS is an enzyme that uses fructose-6-phosphate and glutamine to generate glucosamine-6-phosphate.
Source: RNAcentral
AAGAAAGCGCCUGACCCGUUGAGCGUAAUACAAUAUGCUUUUUAACGCUGAACGGAUGACGAGGAUGGAAGCUUAUCGAUUAUUCGGCGGAUGCUUUCCGGCUUUGCAGAGAAGCUGCAUAUCGGCAUACAAAACACAGGGCGACCGGUGAACAGAAGU